GCCGCCAUUAAAGAAGGUGUAAUCCUGCUGUGGGUAUUCUCGUUUCAUCUUUUUUUUCUUUUUUCUUCUUCAGAGUCUUUUCUGUAGAACUUAAAUCCACCGAUUGGGGAUCGGGAAAAGGGGUAUGGGUUAACAAUCUGUGAAUGGGUGGAAGAAUCUGAGCAUUUGUGAUUGGGGGAAGCGAUGAUAGUGCGAGUGAUUAUCAGAGAGAGAAAGAUGAUAGGUGGAAGUAUAAAAAUGGUACAGCAAAUACAAGUGGUGUGGAGAUGAGAGAGAGAGAUGAAGAAACGCUCGUGAGGGGUGGGCGCGAUAAUCGAUGAACCAACAGGCGGACAACACAACACAACACAACACAACCUCAACCUCAACCUCA
Molecule: long non-coding RNA, 373 nt
Filed under: Lactuca sativa (garden lettuce)
Lineage: Eukaryota; Viridiplantae; Streptophyta; Magnoliopsida; Asterales; Asteraceae
Description: long non-coding RNA (LSAT_LNC008058)
Source: RNAcentral